This 437-nucleotide ribosomal RNA is filed under the name uncultured bacterium. Its description in RNAcentral is "bacterial SSU rRNA". It matches the Rfam family "Bacterial small subunit ribosomal RNA", at positions 76 to 518 of the family's 1533-position model. The record is from RNAcentral.
CAGGAAAUCGAUAAUUCGAGUGGCGGACGGGUGAGUAACGCGUCGAGCAACCUGUCCCAGACAGGGGGAUAACACUUGGAAACAGGUGCUAAUACCGCAUAAGACCACGGGAUCACGAUGGGUUCUGGGGGUAAAAAGGAGCAAUCCGGGUUUGGGGUGGGCUCGCGUCCGAUUAGCCAGUUGGCGGGGUAACGGCCCCACCAAAGCGACGAUCGGUAGCCGACCUGAGAGGGUGAACGGCCACAUUGGAACUGAGAGACGGUCCAAACUCCUACGGGAGGCAGCAGUGGGGAAUAUUGGGCAAUGGGCGAAAGCCUUGACCCAGCAACGCCGCGUGAGUGAAGAAGGCCUUCGGGUUGUAAAGCUCUGUUAUAGUUGACGAAGGAAGUGACGGUAGGCUAUAAGGAAGCCCCGGCUAACUACGUGCCAGCCGCUGC